Molecule: transfer RNA, 66 nt
Filed under: Erpobdella sp. JP-2021
Lineage: Eukaryota; Metazoa; Annelida; Clitellata; Hirudinida; Erpobdellidae
Description: tRNA-Cys
Source: RNAcentral
GAAAGUGUAGUUGAAAUAACAACAUUAACCUGCAAAAUUAAAAGUAUACCUAUAUAAUCGCUUUCU